RNAcentral lists this ribosomal RNA (433 nucleotides) under uncultured bacterium. RNAcentral's name for it is "partial 16S ribosomal RNA". It matches the Rfam family "Bacterial small subunit ribosomal RNA", at positions 29 to 507 of the family's 1533-position model. The record is from RNAcentral.
AACGAACGCUGGCGGCAUGCCUAACACAUGCAAGUCGAACGAGACCUUCGGGACUAGUGGCGCACGGGUGCGUAACGCGUGGGAACCUGCCCUUAGGUUCGGAAUAACUCCCCGAAAGGGGUGCUAAUACCGGAUAAUGUAUUCGGACAAAAGAUUUAUCGUACUUGGAUGGGCCCGCGUUGGUUUAGCUAGUUGGUAGGGUAAAAGCCUAUCAAGGCGACGAUACAUAGCUGGUCUGAGAGGAUGAUCAGCCACACUGGGACUGAGACACGGCCCAGACUCCUACGGGAAGCAGCAGUGGGGAAUAUUGGACAAUGGGCGAAAGGCUGAUCCAGCAAUGCCGCGUGAGUGAUGAAGGCCUUAGGGUUGUAAAGCUCUUUUACCCGGGAUGAUAAUGACAGUACCGGGAGAAUAAGCUCCGGCUAACUCCGUG